AACAACGCUGGCGGCAUGCCUACACAUGCAAGUCGAGCGCGCCUUCGGGUGAGCGGCGGAUCGGGUUAGUAACGCGUGGGAACGUGCCCUUUUACUACGGCACACCGUUAGGUCCCUCUUGGGAAAAAAAAACAUACGCGCAUGAGUAAAUACCGGGUAUACGCCCUUUGGGGGAAAGAUUUCUCGGAGAGAGGAUCGGCCCGCGUUAGAUUACGUAGUUAGUGGGGUAACGGCCUACCAAUCCUACGAUCUAUAGCUGGUUUUAGAGGAUAGAUCAGCAUCACUGGGACUGAAACACGGCCCAGACUCCUACGGGUAGGCAGCAGUGGGGAAUCUUAGACAAUGGGGGCAACCCUGAUCUAUCCAUGCCGCGUGAAGUGAUGAAUGGCCUUAUGGUCGUAAAGCUCUUUCGGCUGUGAUGAUGAUGACAGUAUCCGGUAAAGAAAACCCGGAUAACUCCGUGCCAGCAGCCGCGGUAAUA
Molecule: ribosomal RNA, 481 nt
Filed under: uncultured Paracoccaceae bacterium
Lineage: Bacteria; Pseudomonadati; Pseudomonadota; Alphaproteobacteria; Rhodobacterales; Paracoccaceae
Description: bacterial SSU rRNA
Rfam family: Bacterial small subunit ribosomal RNA
Source: RNAcentral